This 125-nucleotide small RNA is filed under the name Marmota monax (woodchuck). The record is from RNAcentral. Lineage: Eukaryota; Metazoa; Chordata; Mammalia; Rodentia; Sciuridae.
GCCAGGUGCAGUGGCACACCUGUAAUCCCAGAAGCUUGGGAGGCUGAGACAGGAGGAUCAGAAGUUCAAAGCCAGCCUCAUCAACUUAAGGAGGUCUUAAGCAACUUAGUGAGAACCUGUCUCUA